RNAcentral lists this ribosomal RNA (971 nucleotides) under Lactococcus lactis. Its description in RNAcentral is "bacterial SSU rRNA". It matches the Rfam family "Bacterial small subunit ribosomal RNA", at positions 1 to 957 of the family's 1533-position model. Lineage: Bacteria; Bacillati; Bacillota; Bacilli; Lactobacillales; Streptococcaceae. The record is from RNAcentral.
AUUUGAGAGUUUGAUCCUGGCUCAGGACGAACGCUGGCGGCGUGCCUAAUACAUGCAAGUUGAGCGCUGAAGGUUGGUACUUGUACCGACUGGAUGAGCAGCGAACGGGUGAGUAACGCGUGGGGAAUCUGCCUUUGAGCGGGGGACAACAUUUGGAAACGAAUGCUAAUACCGCAUAAAAACUUUAAACACAAGUUUUAAGUUUGAAAGAUGCAAUUGCAUCACUCAAAGAUGAUCCCGCGUUGUAUUAGCUAGUUGGUGAGGUAAAGGCUCACCAAGGCGAUGAUACAUAGCCGACCUGAGAGGGUGAUCGGCCACAUUGGGACUGAGACACGGCCCAAACUCCUACGGGAGGCAGCAGUAGGGAAUCUUCGGCAAUGGACGAAAGUCUGACCGAGCAACGCCGCGUGAGUGAAGAAGGUUUUCGGAUCGUAAAACUCUGUUGGUAGAGAAGAACGUUGGUGAGAGUGGAAAGCUCAUCAAGUGACGGUAACUACCCAGAAAGGGACGGCUAACUACGUGCCAGCAGCCGCGGUAAUACGUAGGUCCCGAGCGUUGUCCGGAUUUAUUGGGCGUAAAGCGAGCGCAGGUGGUUUAUUAAGUCUGGUGUAAAAGGCAGUGGCUCAACCAUUGUAUGCAUUGGAAACUGGUAGACUUGAGUGCAGGAGAGGAGAGUGGAAUUCCAUGUGUAGCGGUGAAAUGCGUAGAUAUAUGGAGGAACACCGGUGGCGAAAGCGGCUCUCUGGCCUGUAACUGACACUGAGGCUCGAAAGCGUGGGGAGCAAACAGGAUUAGAUACCCUGGUAGUCCACGCCGUAAACGAUGAGUGCUAGAUGUAGGGAGCUAUAAGUUCUCUGUAUCGCAGCUAACGCAUUAAGCACUCCGCCUGGGGAGUACGACCGCAAGGUUGAAACUCAAAGGAAUUGACGGGGGCCCGCACAAGCGGUGGAGCAUGUGGUUUAAUUCGAAGC